Molecule: ribosomal RNA, 305 nt
Filed under: uncultured bacterium
Lineage: Bacteria
Description: bacterial SSU rRNA
Rfam family: Bacterial small subunit ribosomal RNA
Source: RNAcentral
CCUACGGGAGGCAGCAGUGGGGAAUAUUGCACAAUGGGGGAAACCCUGAUGCAGCGACGCCGCGUGAAGGAAGAAGUAUCUCGGUAUGUAAACUUCUAUCAGCAGGGAAGAAAAUGACGGUACCUGACUAAGAAGCUCCGGCUAAAUACGUGCCAGCAGCCGCGGUAAUACGUAUGGAGCAAGCGUUAUCCGGAUUUACUGGGUGUAAAGGGAGCGCAGGCGGCAUGGCAAGUCAGAUGUGAAAGCCCGGGGCUCAACCCCGGGACUGCAUUUGAAACUGUCAGGCUGGAGUGCAGGAGAGGCAG